AUGAUGAGGAACCGGAUGUUGAUCCAUAUGUACAACAAACAUCAACGGGAACCGCUCCGUCACGCCGUGCUCCAAAAAGGAAGAGACGGGUUUCACCUAUACCAGAAGAAGAAGAGUUCGCCGAGGAGGAGUCAGACGAAGAUGGUGGAACGGAAGUACCACAAGAUGUUGAAGACGACGGGGAGACAGAUGAGGAUGAAUCAGAGGAGGAGGAGAAAGAGGAGGAGGACAAAGAAGAAGAGGAUGAUGAUGAGGAGGAGGAGGAGGGGGCAGAGGAGGAGGAGGAGGAGGACAAAGGAAAAGAGGACAAAUGAGAGGAGGAGGGCAAGGAAGAAGAUAGUGAGGCAGAGGAGGAGGAACAAGAAAAUGAGGCCAAAGAAGGAGACGAAAACAAAGCUGCAACAAUCGAUGGUAGUGAGGGGAAGGAGAGGACGAGGAAGAAGACGAGGAUGCCGAUCCUGA
This 462-nucleotide ribosomal RNA is filed under the name Triticum aestivum (bread wheat). RNAcentral describes it as "partial small subunit ribosomal RNA". Lineage: Eukaryota; Viridiplantae; Streptophyta; Magnoliopsida; Poales; Poaceae. The record is from RNAcentral.